Molecule: ribosomal RNA, 1147 nt
Filed under: uncultured bacterium
Lineage: Bacteria
Description: bacterial SSU rRNA
Rfam family: Bacterial small subunit ribosomal RNA
Source: RNAcentral
CGGCCCACCAAGGCCAACGAUGGGUAGCCGAUCUAAGAGGAUGACCGGCCACACUGGAAAAGAAACACGCUCCAGACUCCUACGGGAGGCAGCAGUGGGGAAUAUUGCGCAAUGGACGAAAGUCUGACGCAGCGACGCCGCGUGAGGGAUGAAGGUUUUCGGAUCGUAAACCUCUGUCAGGAGGGAAGAAAGCGCAUGGCGCCAAUCAGCCAUGCGUUGACGGUACCUCCAAAGGAAGCGCCGGCUAACUCCGUGCCAGCAGCCGCGGUAAUACGGAGGGCGCGAGCGUUAAUCGGAAUUACUGGGCGUAAAGCGCGCGUAGGCUGUUGUGUAAGUUGGGGGUGAAAUCCCACGGCUCAACCGUGGAACAGCCCUUGAUACUGCGCGACUUGAAUCCGGGAGAGGGUGGCGGAAUUCCAGGUGUAGGAGUGAAAUCCGUAGAUAUCUGGAGGAACAUCAGUGGCGAAGGCGGCCACCUGGACCGGUAUUGACGCUGAGGCGCGAAAGCGUGGGGAGCAAACGAGGAUUAGAUACCCUGGUAGUCCACGCUGUAAACGAUGGAUGCUGGAUGUCGGGGAGUAAUCCCCGGUGUCGUAGCCAACGGGAUAAGCAUCCCGCCUGGGGAGUACGGUCGCAAGGAUGAAACUCAAAGAAAUUGACGGGGGCCCGCACAAGCGGUGGAGUAUGUGGUUUAAUUCGAUGCAACGCGAAGAACCUUACCUGGGUUUGACAUCCGGGGGAUCCUCCCGAAAAGGGGGAGUGCCCUUCGGGGAGCCCCGAGACGGGUGCUGCAUGGCUGUCGUCAGCUCGUGUCGUGAGAUGUUGGGUUAAGUCCCGCGACGAGCGCAACCCCUGCGCAUAGUUGCCAGCAGGCAAAGCUGGGCACUCUAUGCGGACCGCCCGGGUUAACCGGGAGGAAGGUGGGGAUGACGUCAAGUCAUCAUGGCCCUUACACCCAGGGCAACACACGUACUACAAUGGCGCGCACAAAGGGCAGCGGGACCGUGAGGUGGAGCGAAUCCCAAAAAACGCGUCCCAGUCCGGAUUGCAGUCUGCAACUCGACUGCAUGAAGUCGGAAUCGCUAGUAAUUCUGGAUCAGCAUGCCAGGGUGAAUGCAAAGCCGGGCCUUGCACACUCCGCCCGUCA